GCCGAGGUGAUGAAAUUGGCAAACAUGCACGGUUCAGGGCCGUGUGCCUUUACGGGCUUGCGGGUUCAACUCCCGCCCUCGGCACAA
Molecule: transfer RNA, 87 nt
Filed under: Candidatus Portnoybacteria bacterium CG_4_10_14_0_8_um_filter_40_50
Lineage: Bacteria; Candidatus Portnoyibacteriota
Also listed under: 4 other names
Description: tRNA-Leu
Rfam family: tRNA
About the family: Transfer RNA (tRNA) molecules are approximately 80 nucleotides in length.
Source: RNAcentral